AUGAACCGCAAGAAGCUGCAGAAGCUGACGGACACCCUGACCAAAAGCAGCCGGCACUUUAACAAAUUUGAAGUGAAAAGACUCAUCAAGCUUUUUUAUACCUUGGUGGGAGAAGCAUCGGAGCGGCCGGGCUCCGUCCCUGGACUUGACCGCAAUGCGUUCCGGAACAUCCUGCACACCACAUUUGGAAUGACAGAUGACAUGAUCAUGGACAGAGUAUUCCGAGGUUUUGAUAAAGAUAACGAUGGCUCCAUAAGUGUAUCAGAGUGGGUUCAUGGAUUAUCAUUGUUCCUUAGAGGAUCGUUAGAAGAAAAGAUGAAAUAUUGCUUUGAAGUGUUUGAUUUGAAUGGUGAUGGCUUCAUUUCAAAAGAGGAAAUGUUUCACAUGUUGAAGAACAGCCUUCUCAAACAGCCAUCUGAAGAAGACCCUGAUGAAGGAAUUAAAGAUUUGGUUGAAAUAACACUUAAGAAAAUGGACCAUGACCACGAUGGAAAGCUGUCUUUUGCAGACUAUGAGAAAGCUGUGCGCGAAGAGACUCUUUUGCUAGAGGCCUUUGGACCUUGCCUACCGGACCCAAAGAGUCAAAUGGAAUUUGAAGCCCAAGUAUUCAAAGAUUCAAAUGAAUUCCAAGAUUGACUUCCUAAGUAAGUUGUUUUACGGUACAAGCAACACUUCUGUGACAGGAGGCGUCUUGGUAGAUGUUGGUUUGGCAAAGGGACCACCGGUUGAAGCACAAACCUGUCAUCAAAUCUCUGGAUCCACUAGAAUAAUGGGCAGAUUAUAAAAUCACCAAUCAUGACAAACCCAGUUCUCGUGCCAGAAAAUACUGGGAUGUAUACUGAAUCAUUGAAUCUAUGUCCUUCAUAGCUAUUAUUAAGAUGAUACAAAAAGGGCUACAACAUUGGCAUUUUUCAUUGAACCACCUUUUCCUAAGGCAUUGGAGGCAGCAGAGAUGGAAGACACCCAGAGCCUCUUUCAACUUGAUUUCCGUGAUCGAGGCGGCUCUUGCCUUACCAGCAGAGGGCACGGACUCCGUCUGCACGCAGCUUUCCAUUUGCCAUAGCGGUUGUCCUCUGCAUGGAGCGGAUGCCCAAGGAGUAGGCGCCGACCGCAAAGAAAUCUACACGCGCACGCACGCACGUUCACUAACGAUGCUCUGUGCAGGGGAGCGCUCCAGGGGUGCAACUCUAGACCCGCUAGC
RNA transcript from Perognathus longimembris pacificus (Pacific pocket mouse), 1201 nucleotides. It is a transcript of the gene named calaxin, with no coding region annotated. The record is from RefSeq and is a predicted model, not a curated record. NCBI's taxonomy places the organism in Eukaryota, Metazoa, Chordata, Mammalia, Rodentia, Heteromyidae. The transcript has 8 exons.